GACGAACGCUGGCGGCGUGCUUAACACAUGCAAGUCGAACGGAAAGGCCCUGCUUUUGUGGGGUGCUCGAGUGGCGAACGGGUGAGUAACACGUGAGUAACCUGCCCUUGACUUUGGGAUAACUUCAGGAAACUGGGGCUAAUACCGGAUAGGAGCUCCUGCUGCAUGGUGGGGGUUGGAAAGUUUCGGCGGUUGGGGAUGGACUCGCGGCUUAUCAGCUUGUUGGUGGGGUAGUGGCUUACCAAGGCUUUGACGGGUAGCCGGCCUGAGAGGGUGACCGGCCACAUUGGGACUGAGGUACGGCCCAGACUCCUACGGGAGGCAGCAGUGGGGAAUAUUGCACAAUGGGCGGAAGCCUGAUGCAGCAACGCCGCGUGCGGGAUGACGGCCUUCGGGUUGUAAACCGCUUUCGCCUGUGACGAAGCGUGAGUGACGGUAAUGGGUAAAGAAGAACCGGCUAACUACGUG
RNAcentral lists this ribosomal RNA (468 nucleotides) under uncultured bacterium. RNAcentral describes it as "partial 16S ribosomal RNA". It matches the Rfam family "Bacterial small subunit ribosomal RNA", at positions 28 to 507 of the family's 1533-position model. The record is from RNAcentral.